AAAAAAAAAAAAAAGAAUUAUGGCAUAGCCAAAAGGUUCUCUGUAACAGAAUGAGACAUUCAAGUCCAAAGCUGAUUCAUUGAACUUUCACAUCGUAUUCAAAGCCUUUCUAUUGAGCAAGAAUGGUGGAGAAUAACAAGACGUUGCCUACCUUCACUUAUCACCUGGUCAAGGAAGCACGGUAUAAAAUACAAAUUAGAAGCUUUGAAGAACCUUCAAUAGCCAUCUGUGUGUUGUCAUAAUGGUUUGUAGUUUAUGUUCUACCAGAAGAACAUCAUGCCGAACAACUUACUCUUUCAGAUGCUUAAGAAACUCAAUCUAUCAUCUUCAAAGAGAUCCUCAUCUUAAAACCUAAAUAGAUUAAAAGAUGAACCCAUAGGAUGUAAUAUCGUAAGCCAGAGACUGUCACCGUCACCAUGUCUUGCCUCUGACUCCCUUUUCCUUCCCAAGGAUUUGAUAAACUCAGACCAUGGUUUCUUCACGAAAGACAUACUUCAUGCAGCUUGGGCUGAAGCCUCUGUACAAAUCUGCUAGCCCUUCUUUCUCAACAAUUCUUGCACGAGCAUGAAGUAUGUUCUGGUACUGACUCCCAUUGAGAACCCCUGCCUGUAUCUGCUUUCAAGCCACCUCAAGCGGGAAAGUUGCUGUACUUGAGAUUGCGCCAGCUGCCGAUCCAAUCAGUAGAGUCAUGGCAUUUUCAAUUUCUUCCUUCUUGAAAUCCUUUUUGUAAGGUGUCUUCAAUGUAUCAUAGGCAAAGUAAUUGGCAGCAGCAUAU
Molecule: unclassified non-coding RNA, 775 nt
Filed under: Hevea brasiliensis (rubber tree)
Lineage: Eukaryota; Viridiplantae; Streptophyta; Magnoliopsida; Malpighiales; Euphorbiaceae
Source: RNAcentral